RNAcentral lists this microRNA precursor (101 nucleotides) under Pelobates cultripes (western spadefoot toad). Lineage: Eukaryota; Metazoa; Chordata; Amphibia; Anura; Pelobatidae. The record is from RNAcentral.
GACCCUCCCUCCCAGACCCUCCCACCUCCUGGACAGCUCACUAAGAAUGCAGCUUCUUAGUGAUGCUGUCCAGGAGGUGGGAGGGUCUGGGAGGGAGGGUC